UACAGAGGGUGCGAGCGUUGUUCGGAAUUAUUGGGCGUAAAGGCGCGUAGGCGGCGCCACAAGUCACCUGUGAAAACUCUGGGCUCAACCCAGAGCCUGCAGGCGAAACUGUGGUGCUGGAGUAUGGGAGAGGUGCGUGGAAUUCCCGGUGUAGCGGUGAAAUGCGUAGAGUAUCGGGAGGAACACCUGUGGCGAAAGCGGCGCACUGGACCAAUAACUGACGCUGAGGCGCGAAAGCUAGGGGAGCAAACAGG
Molecule: ribosomal RNA, 254 nt
Filed under: uncultured bacterium
Lineage: Bacteria
Description: partial 16S ribosomal RNA
Rfam family: Bacterial small subunit ribosomal RNA
Source: RNAcentral